RNAcentral lists this ribosomal RNA (491 nucleotides) under uncultured bacterium. RNAcentral describes it as "partial 16S ribosomal RNA". It matches the Rfam family "Bacterial small subunit ribosomal RNA", at positions 29 to 506 of the family's 1533-position model. The record is from RNAcentral.
AUUGAACGCUGGCGGUAGGCCUAACACAUGCAAGUCGAACGGCAGCACAGUAAGAGCUUGCGCUUACGGGUGGCGAGGGGCGGACGGGUGAGGAAUACAUCGGAAUCUACUUUUGCGUGGGUGAGAACGUAGGGAAACUUACGCUAAUACCGCAUACGACGUACGGGUGAAAGCAGGGGAUCUCCGGACCUUGCGCGAGUGAAUGAGCGGAUGUCGGAUUAGUGAGUUUGCGGGGUAAAGGCCCACCAAGGCGACGAUCCGUAGCUGGCCUGAGAGGAUGAUAGGCACAACUGGACCUGAGAACCGUCCAAGCCCCUUACGGGAGGCAGCAGUGGGGAAUAUUGACAAAUGGGCGAAAGCCUGAUCAAGCCAGACGGCGUGGGUGAAGAAGGCCUUCGGGUUGUAAAGCCCUUUUGUUGGGAAAGAAAAGAAGAAGGUUAAUACCCCGCUGUCCGGACGGUACCAAAAGAAUAAGCACCGCCGACCUUCGU